This 1291-nucleotide long non-coding RNA is filed under the name Monodelphis domestica (gray short-tailed opossum). RNAcentral describes it as "lncRNA (ENSMODG00000045715.1)". The record is from RNAcentral. Lineage: Eukaryota; Metazoa; Chordata; Mammalia; Didelphimorphia; Didelphidae.
CAUCUAUUUCUUCUCAUUGUUUCAUGAGGUGAUAAUUGUUAUCCUCAAAAUUCUGUCACUGAGAUGAAAGUCAAAACCAUUUCAUGGUAAUAGAACUUAUUAUAACUUAAACUGCUAUGGCAUAGCUUCAAAAAUUCAAAUUUUUCUCUAAUGAAUCUCAGAGCUGGAAAAAAAUCUGAGAAGUCAUUGAAUAAUAUCUUAAUAAUAUAGGCAUAAGAACUUGAAUAACAUUUUUCAUUAGUAUCAGAUGAGUGCAAACUUCUAAGUGAGGAAAUGCCUCUAACAAGUGUAGCUCAGCACCUUAUAGUCCUACAGAGACCCUUAAAAGCAUUGAAAGGUUAAGUAAAUUAACCAGAGACAAACAGUCAAUUCAAAUAAGAAUCUAAACAAGCCUUUAUUAAAGAAGGUCAUUGAAGAAGUCUAUGGUAUAAAAUCAGUUUUUUUCAGAAGUUGAUAUAUAUCUAUUUUUCAUUUUAUAUAUCUUACAUUUUCUCUAACUAGAGUAAGGCAUCUCAAUAAUAUAUGUCACAAUAGAAGUUGAAUACAUUCAUGUAACAUUAUUGAAAUCUAUUCGCAAUACCUGAAUUAAUAUAAAAACACAUUCCCACAGUGUAUUUAAUAUUUUUACACUGGUCAUGGCAUAUGAUAGGCUAUAAAGAAAAGAUCAAACCACUUGUUAAUUCCUUUCUAAUUUAGAAAUAGUAAUUUUCUUUUAGUAUAAUAUGGAUCAAAACAAAGAGUAGAUGACAGUUAAGUCAUUUUUAGGAAUAAUGUAAAGUUACUAUGGUUUCACAAUGCAUCAAUUGUAUAUCUUUCUCCACUAUUUGUAAAAUAUUAUUAUAACACACUUUUCUUCUCUUCUUUGAAAGAAAUAUAAAGAACUGGGCCAGCACCCUGAGUCAAGAAUCAGACUUUAUUGUUUUGGCACAAAAUACAGAAGUCAGAGGUCUGUGUGCCAGGCACAUUCUGCAGCAUGAGACAUCUGAUGUCCAAAUAACAAGGGUUGUAUCAGCUUUGGACAAUUGCUUAACAGAUAUAAUUGACAAAGAGAGUGGAGAAGAAAAAGAAAAUCCAUUGAGGAGGAGGAGAAAGAGGAAGAAGAAGAAAAAGAAACAAAAGAAGUAUAUAAGAGGAAAAAGGAGAGUAGGAAGAAAGAGAAGAAACACUUCAUCUUGCAAUCUGAGUCUAUCAUAUCUCUAUAUGGAGUUAGUCCUUUGGAAUUGUGGUGGGUAAGUGUUAAAAGUUGUUAUGUCUCUCAAAAUUGAUUAUUUUUCUUACAUAUUAUAUUGUU